RNAcentral lists this ribosomal RNA (722 nucleotides) under Microsporum canis. RNAcentral describes it as "eukaryotic LSU rRNA". The stretch from base 299 to 452 matches the Rfam family "5.8S ribosomal RNA". The record is from RNAcentral. Lineage: Eukaryota; Fungi; Ascomycota; Eurotiomycetes; Onygenales; Arthrodermataceae.
GCCUGGAGGGGAUUGCCUCACGCCCGUAGUGACAUGCAACUCUUCUGUCUCCCCCCGGGCCUCCCGGGGAGGUUGCGGGCGGCGAGGGGUGCCUCCGGCCGCACGCCCAUUCUUGUCUACUGACCCGGUUGCCUCGGCGGGCCGCGCCUGCUGUGCUACAGCGGCCGUUCGGGGGGGACGCCUGAGGGGGACUCUUGUUUCCUAGGCCACGCCCCGGGCAGCGCUCGCCGGAGGAUUACUCUGGAAAACACACUCUUGAAAGAACAUACCGUCUGAGCGAGCAACGCAAAUCAGUUAAAACUUUCAACAACGGAUCUCUUGGUUCCGGCAUCGAUGAAGAACGCAGCGAAAUGCGAUAAGUAAUGUGAAUUGCAGAAUUCCGUGAAUCAUCGAAUCUUUGAACGCACAUUGCGCCCCCUGGCAUUCCGGGGGGCAUGCCUGUUCGAGCGUCAUUUCAACCCCUCAAGCCCGGCUUGUGUGAUGGACGACCGUCCCCCCUCCCCAGUAACCACCCACCGCUUAGGGGGGUGGGAGGGAGGGGGACGCGCCCGAAAAGCAGUGGUCAGGCCGCGAUUCCGGCUCCUGGGCGAAUGGGACAUACCACCGCCUCCAGGACCGGCCGGCAGGCUGGGCCUAACGCAGCAUGUAUUAUUCAGGUUGACCUCGGAUCAUGUAGGGAUACCCGCUGAACUUAAGCAUAUCAGUAAGGCGGAAAGACAAAA